RNAcentral lists this long non-coding RNA (471 nucleotides) under Malus domestica (apple). RNAcentral describes it as "long non-coding RNA (MDOM_LNC008315)". Lineage: Eukaryota; Viridiplantae; Streptophyta; Magnoliopsida; Rosales; Rosaceae. The record is from RNAcentral.
ACACUGCACGCUAAGAGCCAAAGACUCCUUAACCGCCAAUUCAUCAGAUCGUCUAGCGAGCAGUCUGUUAUCUCUGGGAGUGACAAGGUUCCGGGCCACCACCGCAGCGGUCAUGUCAUUUUUCAUCACCGAAUCCCCAACGGUAAGAGGACCGGUAGGGGAUAUGAAGGAUGGGCGCCAUAUGUUGUCUGGUGAAGGCGGAGCUGCCUCUUCACCAAUGUUCAAGUCAAAACGACGAUCGGACGGGCCAGACAUUUUCUGAAGGUGGUGAAGAAAGAAGAGAGUCGGACUGAUUAAGAUUUUGGAAGUUUACAGGAGGGAGUGUUUACAGGAGGGAGCUCAAGUGUGUUGUGGAACAAAAUUAGCGCCUCUAUAAAAAGAAGAAAUCAAAGAGGCGCUCCUCAGAAAUUGAAGAGGCGUCCUCUCGCAAAUCGAAGAGUCGGGGCUCCGUUCUCAAACGCCUGAUUCUUU